CCUACGGGUGGCAGCAGUGGGGAAUUUUGCACAAUGGGGGAAACUCUGAUGCAGCGACGCCGCGUGAAGGAAGAAGUAUUUCGGUAUGUAAACUUCUAUCAGCAGGGAAGAAAAUGACGGUACCUGACUAAGCAGCCCCGGCUAACUACGUGCCAGCAGCCGCGGUCAUACGUAGGGGGCAAGCGUUAUCCGGAUUUACUGGGUGUAAAGGGAGCGGAGGCGGUUUAGCAAGUCAGACGUGAAAGCCGGGGGCUCAACCGCGGGAAUGCUUUUGCAACUGUUGGACUAGAGUGCAGGAGAGGUAAGUGGAAUUACUAGUGUAGCGGUGAAAUGCGUAGAUAUUAGGAGGAACACCAGUGGCGAAGGCGGCUUACUGGACUGUAAAUGACGCUGAGGCUCGAAAGCGUGGGGAGCAAACAGGAUUAGAUACCCGAGUAGUC
Molecule: ribosomal RNA, 440 nt
Filed under: uncultured bacterium
Lineage: Bacteria
Description: partial 16S ribosomal RNA
Rfam family: Bacterial small subunit ribosomal RNA
Source: RNAcentral